This 501-nucleotide ribosomal RNA is filed under the name uncultured bacterium. RNAcentral describes it as "bacterial SSU rRNA". It matches the Rfam family "Bacterial small subunit ribosomal RNA", at positions 28 to 521 of the family's 1533-position model. The record is from RNAcentral.
GAUGAACGCUAGCGGGAGGCUUAACACAUGCAAGUCGAGGGGCAUCACGAGGUAGCAAUACUUUGGUGGCGACCGGCGCACGGGUGAGUAACACGUAUGCAACCUUCCCUGUACAGGGGGAUAACCCGGAGAAAUUCGGACUAAUACCCCAUGAUGAUAUUUAUGGGCAUCCAUUAAUAUUUAAAGCUCUGGCGGUACAGGAUGGGCAUGCGCGACAUUAGCUAGUUGGUAAGGUAACGGCUUACCAAGGCCACGAUGUUUAGGGGACCUGAGAGGGUUGUCCCCCACACUGGUACUGAGACACGGACCAGACUCCUACGGGAGGCAGCAGUGAGGAAUAUUGGUCAAUGGGCGCAAGCCUGAACCAGCCAUCCCGCGUGAAGGAAGAAUGCGCUACGCGUUGUAAACUUCUUUUCCGAGGGGAGAAUAAUCCUGUCGUGACAGGACUUGACGGUACUCGUGGGAAUAAGCAUCGGCUAACUCCGUGCCAGCAGCCGCGGU